Molecule: ribosomal RNA, 301 nt
Filed under: uncultured bacterium
Lineage: Bacteria
Description: partial 16S ribosomal RNA
Rfam family: Bacterial small subunit ribosomal RNA
Source: RNAcentral
CAGCAGCCGCGGUAAUACGUAGGUGGCAAGCGUUGUCCGGAAUUAUUGGGCGUAAAGGGCUCGCAGGCGGUUUCUUAAGUCUGAUGUGAAAGCCCCCGGCUCAACCGGGGAGGGUCAUUGGAAACUGGGAAACUUGAGUGCAGAAGAGGAGAGUGGAAUUCCACGUGUAGCGGUGAAAUGCGUAGAGAUGUGGAGAAACACCAGUGGCGAAGGCGACUCUCUGGUCUGUAACUGACGCUGAGGAGCGAAAGCGUGGGGAGCGAACAGGAUUAGAUACCCCUGUAGUCCCUGUCUCUUAUAC